Molecule: microRNA precursor, 202 nt
Filed under: Oryza rufipogon (brownbeard rice)
Lineage: Eukaryota; Viridiplantae; Streptophyta; Magnoliopsida; Poales; Poaceae
Description: MIR812 microRNA precursor family
Rfam family: MIR812 microRNA precursor family
Source: Rfam by way of RNAcentral
UAUAAGGGAUUUUGAGUUUUUACUUGCAACGUUUGACCACUCAUCUUAUUCAAAUUUUUUUAAAAUUAUUAUUUAUUUUAUUUAUGACUUACUUUAUUAUCUAUAGUACUUUAAGCACAACUUUUCGUUUUUUAUAUUUAUAAAAUUUUUUUAAUAAGACGAGUGGUCAAACGUUGCAAUCAAAAACUCAAAAUCCCUUAUA